This 288-nucleotide ribosomal RNA is filed under the name uncultured bacterium. Its description in RNAcentral is "partial 16S ribosomal RNA". It matches the Rfam family "Bacterial small subunit ribosomal RNA", at positions 775 to 1067 of the family's 1533-position model. The record is from RNAcentral.
GGAUUAGAUACCCUGGUAGUCCACGCUGUAAACGAUGCAUGCUAGUUGUUGUCCCUUUGGGGGCAGUGACGCAGUUAACGCCCUAAGCAUGCCACCUGGGGAGUACGUUCGCAAGAAUGAAACUCAAAGGAAUUGACGGGGGCCCGCACAAGCGGUGGAGCAUGUGGCUUAAUUCGAUGCAACGCGAAGAACCUUACCCGGGCUAAAUCUAUGGCGACAGGCUGGGAAACCAGUUCUCCCUUCGGGGCGCCAUAGAAGGUGCUGCAUGGCUGUCGUCAGCUCGUGCCG